GAAGCCGCCGUGACGGUGAAAGGCUCUUCUCUCCGGAGCAAGUGGACGAGGUGACACGCCGCGCCUCCUCCGAAAGCCGCCGGUGGGCGAGCCUAGCCAGCCGUUCGCCCCGGGGGAAGAGAAAGGAGAGAGGGCGAGAGCCGGGCAUGCCUCCGCCGAGGCACUCGCGCCCCUGAGGGAAUCGGCCGCCGACGCCGACUCGCGCCUCCUUUUCUGACACCGGGCUGGGGCGCACGAGAUCUGGGCAUCGCGCCUCGUUUGGAGAGGUCUCUGCUGCACUCGCCGGCUUUCCCCUUCGCCCUUUCCCGGGGAAGGAGGAGCAGGAGGAGGAAGAAGGGAGUGUGCCGAGGGGUCUCCCCCCUCCGUCGGUCCGCAGCGCAUGAGGAGAGAAGCGCCCUGAGGACGCCUUCCUCCCGGGCUUCGAGAGACUUGGCUUGGUUUGGCGAGGCUGCCCGUCGGCAUUCACCUUGGUCUUGCGCUCCUUCCAUCUCCGCGGGCGCGGAGGGAGCCCCCCUCGUAAACAUGGCGAGCGAUUCUCCGGCUCGGAGCUUGGACGAGAUCGAUCUGUCCGCCUUGAGGGAUCCUGCAGGCAUCUUUGAACUGGUUGAACUGGUUGGCAAUGGGACUUACGGACAAGUGUAUAAGGGCCGUCAUGUUAAAACCGGGCAACUUGCAGCGAUUAAAGUCAUGGAUGUCACUGGGGUAAUGUAUU
This is a non-coding RNA of Thamnophis sirtalis, 712 nucleotides long. NCBI's taxonomy places the organism in Eukaryota, Metazoa, Chordata, Lepidosauria, Squamata, Natricidae. The record is from RefSeq and is a predicted model, not a curated record.